This is a long non-coding RNA of Aedes aegypti (yellow fever mosquito), 557 nucleotides long. RefSeq lists it as uncharacterized. Lineage: Eukaryota; Metazoa; Arthropoda; Insecta; Diptera; Culicidae. The record is from RefSeq and is a predicted model, not a curated record. The transcript is spliced from 4 exons.
AAUACCAACAGUCGGUCGGUGGUUCCAACGAGCCAGUCUCGAAUGAGUAAUAACGAAGAAAAGAACGAACCUUAAACAAACAAACAAACAUACGCACGCCCCGAAAGUUUUACGUAAAUAUCAAUCAACUGGCAUGCCUGCUUGACCGGUUUUUCUUUUUUCGCCAUGGAUGUAGAUACUCUUCCUACUCGUCAAGAUACAUAUUUCCAUAAAAAAGAUUUAACAUCGGACCAUUCUUCGAAAAGUUACAGAUAAAACUACAAAUUUCAAAAUGCUCGUUCUCAGCAAUGCUACAACCGAUUUUCGAGAUUUUCGUUUUGGUGCCAUCCCGCUAGACCCCUCCCCAUUUUUGUGAGAUUGACCCAAAUCUUAUCAGAAAGGUGCCGUUUAGUGCAGGAAUAGUCUCUUACAUGUUGUGGAAAACUUGGCUUCGAUGGUAAACAACAUGGUUCUCCGGUGAAUAAUUCGGAAUAUCCUUAAAAAUGUUGGGCAGAGGUGGACACACCACAACGCAGAACAGGGUCACCGAAGCGGAACGCGGAACCAGGAUUUCGGUA